RNAcentral lists this ribosomal RNA (165 nucleotides) under uncultured bacterium. RNAcentral describes it as "partial 16S rRNA". It matches the Rfam family "Bacterial small subunit ribosomal RNA", at positions 355 to 511 of the family's 1533-position model. The record is from RNAcentral.
UAGGGAAUCUUCGGCAAUGGACGAAAGUCUGACCGAGCAACGCCGCGUGAGUGAAGAAGGUUUUCGGAUCGUAAAACUCUGUUGGUAGAGAAGAACGUUGGUGAGAGUGGAAAGCUCAUCAAGUGACGGUAACUACCCAGAAAGGGACAGCUAACUACGUGCCAC